Molecule: ribosomal RNA, 252 nt
Filed under: uncultured bacterium
Lineage: Bacteria
Description: partial 16S ribosomal RNA
Rfam family: Bacterial small subunit ribosomal RNA
Source: RNAcentral
GACGAACCGUGCGAACGUUGUUCGGAUUCACUGGGCUUAAAGGGCGCGUAGGCGGACGGUCAAGUCGGGGGUGAAAUCUUUCAGCUUAACUGAAAAGUGCCUCCGAUACUGAUCGUCUCGAGGGAGGUAGGGGCAUGUGGAACUUCCGGUGGAGCGGUGAAAUGCGUAGAUAUCGGAAGGAACGCCGGUGGCGAAAGCGACGUGCUGGACCUCUUCUGACGCUGAGGCGCGAAAGCCAGGGGAGCAAACGGG